Rosa chinensis is the source of this 1192-nucleotide RNA transcript. RefSeq lists it as uncharacterized. The transcript is spliced from 8 exons. Lineage: Eukaryota; Viridiplantae; Streptophyta; Magnoliopsida; Rosales; Rosaceae. The record is from RefSeq and is a predicted model, not a curated record.
UCAAUACUCAUCCCUCACUCAAUUUACUGUUCAAAUAGAAAGAGGAGCAGAGCAAAAUCAAAUAGGAGGAGAAAAUUAUUAUCGAGUCGGCUGACAGUUUUGCAGAUUCACGUAAGGUACACAGCGACGACGAUACUGGCAUUGAUGCAGGAAGUGGCUCACUUUUUGAGAACAAAGGGAUACUGGUGGAUUGCAACAAGUGACUUUCAAACUUUAGUUUGCAGAGUCCACUCUUUUUGUUGAGGUUCAGGUCUGAAAUGCAAUUUUAGGGGUGCACAGAGGAAUAUUGAAUAUUUGAGGAAUUACUGUAUAACGUCAAAUUUCUUAUAUUCCAGCAGGAGAACAUAGGAAGUAGCUGGCCCUUCCCCUAUUUUUGUGUCUAAGCUAUGGAUUUGUUUCACUGAGCGGGAGGCAGAAGAGCAAUCUGGGCUUGAAAGGUUGUGAAAACAGUGGUUUCUUGAGCAGGAGAAGAUACGAAGUGAUUCUAUUGUCUGGCUUCUGUUUGUUCUAUCUCACUCUUUUUCAAUUUUGAUGUUUUCUGGUCACUAUUUCAGGUACCAAAGGGGGAUCAAAUAAGAGAUUUUCUUCACUCUGUACAACAGGAACUAGCACAAGAGUUUUGAGAAGUUCGAACUACCUCAGUGGAGAAUUUGCUAUAUGUAAAAGAAGAUCUUAUCAUUUUACAUGUAAGAUUAUUAUGGGACAGGUUUCUUCAUCACGCUCUCACCCAUCCAAUGAAGGCCAGAGACCAUCCCAUGUUCAUGCGCCCGACACAGAAAGGCAGAGUACAAAUACCUCCCAAAGACAAGGAAGACAAGGAAUGAGUUUUGCACAAGCUAUUUCAUCGCAGUCUCACCCAUCUGAGGAAGAUCAGGGACGCAACCGUCUUCAUACACUUGAGGCUGAAAGACAGCGUAGAAAUAAUCGUCAAAGAGAGAGGCGACAGUCAUUAAGUUCUUCACAACGAGCAGAAAGUUUAGCCCGAAGACGUGCUAAUUACCACUUACGGCGGCAGAUGAUAAACACAAGUGUGGAGGACAGAAGUAUGGCAAAUCAAUUAGGAGCAAUGGCCGGUAACUUUCUACUUUGAGUCUUACAAAAGACAAACAUCUUCAGCGGUAAUGUAUAACUAUUUGGAAUAGAGUCUUCCAAGGAUAUAUUCUUAUAUAUACCUGUGUUAAAAAAACAGAAG